This 253-nucleotide ribosomal RNA is filed under the name uncultured bacterium. RNAcentral's name for it is "partial 16S ribosomal RNA". It matches the Rfam family "Bacterial small subunit ribosomal RNA", at positions 524 to 776 of the family's 1533-position model. The record is from RNAcentral.
UACAGAGGUCCCAAGCGUUGUUCGGAUUCACUGGGCGUAAAGGGUGCGUAGGUGGCUUGGUAAGUUUGAUGUGAAAUCUCCGGGCUUAACCCGGAAAUGGCAUUGAAUACUAUCGAGCUGGAGGUUUGGAGGGGGGACUGGAAUUCUCGGUGUAGCAGUGAAAUGCGUAGAUAUCGAGAGGAACACCAGUGGCGAAGGCGGCUCACUGGCCCGGUACUGACGCUGAGGCGCGAAAGCGUGGGGAGCAAACAGG